UACAGAGACUGCAAGCGUUGUUCGGAUUCAUUGGGCGUAAAGGGUGCGCAGGCGGUGCGUUAAGUCGGAUGUGAAAUCUCACAGCCUAACUGUGAUAGGUCAUUCGAAACUGGCGUGCUAGAGGACUGGAGAGGAGACUGGAAUGGUCGGUGUAGCGGUGAAAUGCGUAGAGAUCGACCAGAACACCGGUGGCGAAGGCGGGUCUCUGGGCCGAUAUUGACGCUGAGGAGCGAAAACGUGGGGAGCGAACAGG
RNAcentral lists this ribosomal RNA (253 nucleotides) under uncultured prokaryote. Its description in RNAcentral is "partial 16S ribosomal RNA". It matches the Rfam family "Bacterial small subunit ribosomal RNA", at positions 524 to 776 of the family's 1533-position model. The record is from RNAcentral.